Molecule: ribosomal RNA, 466 nt
Filed under: uncultured bacterium
Lineage: Bacteria
Description: partial 16S ribosomal RNA
Rfam family: Bacterial small subunit ribosomal RNA
Source: RNAcentral
ACGAACGCUGGCGGCGUGCUUCACACCUGCCAGUCGAACGGAAAGGCCUGCUUUUGUGGGGUGCUCGAGUGGCGAACGGGUGAGUAACACGUGAGUAACCUGCCCUUGACUUUGGGAUAACUUCAGGAAACUGGGGCUAAUACCGGAUAGGAGCUCCUGCUGCAUGGUGGGGGUUGGAAAGUUUCGGCGGUUGGGGAUGGACUCGCGGCUUAUCAGCUUGUUGGUGGGGUAGUGGCUUACCAAGGCUUUGACGGGUAGCCGGCCUGAGAGGGUGACCGGCCACAUUGGGACUGAGAUACGGCCCAGACUCCUACGGGAGGCAGCAGUGGGGAAUAUUGCACAAUGGGCGGAAGCCUGAUGCAGCAACGCCGCGUGCGGGAUGACGGCCUUCGGGUUGUAAACCGCUUUCGCCUGUGACGAAGCGUGAGUGACGGUAAUGGGUAAAGAAGCACCGGCUAACUACGUG